UGCAAUUGUUAUGGCAAUUAACGUUCCUAGCUGACUCAGUUAUGUUUUGUUUACUUGCACAUUGUUAUCCACUCUUACUAGCAUCUGUAGGAAAUAUUUGAAUUCUCCAGGAUAAUCGUGUUCCUCUGGAUGCAGCUUCUCGGCCAAGCGAUAUAGGGAUUCUGGGUACAGAGUUUGAUACUCUUCAUGGUUCAAUGUGUACCUUCCUCCGGCAUUUACAACUAUGUUGUCAACGGUUAGUUUGCCUAUUAAGUUUCCAUUUCUCAUCAUGUUGAUACAGUUCCAAAUGGUGUCCUUGCAUUUGUUUUUAAGAGAUCAAAUAACACAGUCAACCAAAAUUGAUUGCAUAAUAUGUAGAUAAAUUAUGAGACUUGUAAUAGGGUAAUAGAAUGAUAUGUUAAUUCUUUAUUAUCUUAUAUAUGUUAUAGGUUCUUGUCCAGAGUGUAGUUUUUUUGUUUAUUGUUUUUGUUUUGUUGAUUUGGUGCAGAUGGUGGUGGUGAUGAUGAGAGAUGUGUGUGGGGUUGGACACAAGAAGGUCUCUUGAGGUUCUGCAGAACUCGUCUCUGAUUUUUGCAGAGGAGAGGAUUCCUAUGAAGGACCCUAUUGGCGAGUUUCAUAAGUACACUGGUGGUUAGAAAAUAUCAGCAAUGAUCAUGACUGGGCUGUGAGUUAUUGUAAUCUUUAUAUUAGUUGCAACAAUCAUUUGUUUAGUGCUAAUUUCAAUUUCACAUUAUUAAGUACUAGAUUGUGUAAUUAAAAAUCUUCCAGUUCUCAUCAACAAAGGCAUGCGUACAUUAUGAUUAUACAUCAAUUAUGUAAGGCGACCGUGAUUGUAAUGCACGUAUCUUCUGUAUGAUAUUGAAAACUACAACUAUUAUCCAACUUUGUCUUCUAUCUUCUGCCUAAGAUUGUAAUGCAAGUCUACUUUUUGUCUACAACAACAGCUAUCAAUGUAAUACGCAAUGAAAUGUGUAAUGCAAUAAGCAGCUAUCAAUGUAAUGCGCAAUGUAAAACAAAUUGUUUUGGAAGAAAGAACAAACAACAGCAACCGAAAGAUUGCAAGAAGAAGUUGGUUUGGUAGUGAUGCACAAUUUACAUCUAUCAAGGUAAUGCACAAUUAAUGUAAGGCCUCGAAAGCUAGUUGCAUACCUGUAUAGUUGGUACACAGCCCUUGGAACCUUGUUCUUCGCAACAAGGUUUUCUGCAAAUGAAUCAUAAUUCUCCGGAUGGGGAAUUAUGUCCUCUCUCAAUGUCAACUGUUUCAUAGAGUAAAUUAAAUCAAUACGUGAAGGUGUUAUAAUGAUAAUGAGAUCAUCUUGGUUAUUAGGAACCUACCAGUUCCCCUGUAAAGACAGGGCAUCCAUACUUGAAUAAAAGGUUCAGACAUGACAUUUUGCAAUAAAUUUUAAUGGGCAGCAUUUCUUGAUUGAUGAUAUGCUCAAUAGUUUUUAACUUCUUUGAAAAAAUAAACAUUACAAUAUUUCAUUCAGUUUUUUUGGAGUUCUGAAGCUUUAAUUAACAGACCAAAAGUGCCUUAUGUCUGAAGUGUGGUUGUUGCUCUCAAAUUGCUACUAGCCUCCUACUGCCCUUCAUCCAAUUGCUACUAGCGUAAUGGAAUUCUCAUCUUCGUUAAAUUCAAGAAAAAAAUUCAGUUUAUUACCCUGAACUUUAGGUCUAAAAUCAGUUUGAUACCUCAUCUUUUUUUUUAAUCAAUUUCAUACCUAAACUUUCAAAAUGACAUCAAUCUCGACCAAAAUGACUAAAAUAGCCCUGAUUAAUCUUUUUACCCUCUCUCUCCCUGCCUCCAAAUCCACCACAUGGCCGGCGCCGGCAUCCACCCCUACCACCAGCAAUGGGCCCCGGCGGCAGCCCCUCCUCCUCCCCCGGCCGUCGCCGCUGCCAUUCUUAACUCUGAGUGGGUAAAAAGAUUAACCAGGGCUAUUUUAGUCAUUUUAGUCGAGAUUGAUGUCAUUUUGAAAGUUUAGGUAUGAAACUGAUUAAAAAAAAGAUGAGGUAUCAAAAUGAUUUUAGACCUAAAGUUCAGGAUAGUAAAAUGAAAUUAUCUCUAAAUUCAAUGCUUUGCUCAAUCAUGAAUAUAUAUACCAAAAGAACUACUCUUGGGAACAUGACUUCUAUCAUUUCUACUAUCUCUCUCCGGUUGAAAAAAUAUACAAUUACAUUGGGUGGCACAUCUGCAGCAGCUUUGGCAACCAUAUAUUUCCUCUGCUCCGGGUUGUCAAUACCACAUGAUUCAUAAUCUUCAAUAACUUUUUCUUCAACCUUGUCUCUUUUUUUUAGGUACUUGUCACGUUCUUCUCUAUUAUGUCUUUAUAUAGUUUCAUUCAAAUGUUGAAAGACAAACCUGUAGUAAUAGAUGAAUCUCUUACCGUUCUUGAGGUACUCCUCUCCAUAUUCAUUGUAGACAACUUUGAAGAAUUUGGCUGCUUCUAUCUUUCGUUUAACGACAUCAUCUAUAUUUGUUUCUAUGCUCAAGGUCGGAAUAUAUUAUUCAAGGUCUGCCCAUAUUCCUUGGUAGGUUUUUGCUCUCUGUGAAAACAUAGGAUAUGCAUGGCACAUGAUCUCCUAUAUUUCUUUGUCUGUUAAUAGUGAAGGAUGAUAGUAUAAUUGCCGAAGUUUGUUCCUGCAUGCAAGUGAGAAUGUGAAAGCCAAGAUAAUAUAUUGAACUAUUAUUGUUUGUUUACGCUUUUUUAUAUUAUGCUAAACACUUUAAAUGAAAGUGAUUAUGAUUAUUGAAAUAUGCAAUUGUUAUGGCAAUUAACGUUCCUAGCUGACUCAGUUAUGUUUUGUUUACUUACACAUCGUUAUCCACUCUUACUAGCAUCUGUAGGAAAUGUUUGAAUUCUCCAGGAUAAUCGUGUUCCUCUGGAUGCAGCUUCUCGACCAAGCGAUAUAGGGAUUCUGGGUACAGAGUUUGAUACUCUUCAUGGUUCAAUGUGUACCUUCCUCCGGCAUUUACAACUAUAUUGUCAACGGUUAGUUUGCCUAUUAAGUUUCCAUUUCUCAUCAUGUUGACGCAGUUCCGAAUGGUGUCCUUGCAUUUUUUUUAGGAGAUCAAAUAACACAAUUAACCAAAAUUGAUUUUUUCCAAGACAAAGUGCAUAAUAUGUAGAUAAAUUAUGAGACUUGUAAUAGGGUAGCAGAAUGAUAUGUUAAUUCUUUAUUAUCUUAUAUAUGUUAUACUUUCUUGUCCAAAGUGUGGUUUUUUGUUUUUUUGUUUUUGUUUUGAGUUUUGUUGAUUUGGUACAGAUUGUGGUGGUGAUGAUGAGAGAUGUGUGUGGGGUUGGACACAAGAAGGUCUCUUGAGGUUCUGCAUAACUCGUCUCUGAUUUUUGCAGAGGAGAGGAUUCCUAUGAAGGACCCUAUUGACGAGUUUCAUAAGUACAUUGGUGGUUAGAAAAUAUCAGCAAUGAUCAUUAUUGGGCUGUGAGUUCUUGUAAUCUUUAUAUUAGUUGCAACAAUCAUUUGUUUAGUGCUAAUUUCAAUUUCGAUUCACAGUAUUAAGUACUAGAUUGUGUAAUUGAAAAUCUUCCAGUUCUCAUCAACAGAGGCAUGCAUACAUUAUGAUUAUAAAUCAGUUAUGUAAGGUGACCGUGAUUGUAAUGCACGUAUCUUUUGUAUGAUAUUGAAAACUACAAC
Molecule: long non-coding RNA, 3657 nt
Filed under: Fragaria vesca (wild strawberry)
Lineage: Eukaryota; Viridiplantae; Streptophyta; Magnoliopsida; Rosales; Rosaceae
Description: long non-coding RNA (FVES_LNC003905)
Source: RNAcentral